CCUGCCAGUAGUCAUAUGCUUCGUUCAAGGGCUAAGCCAUGCAAGUCUCAGCGUACACGGCUUUCAACAGUGGGUCUGUGAAUGGCUCCUUACAUCAGCAGUCAUCUCCACGAUAGAGUGUGGUUGGCACCACCCCUGCCAGGUGCCCUCUUGGACAUCCUCCAAAACCUAGUGGCUAAUACACGGUCGACCCGGUCUGCCGCACACACGGCGCCGUCAGGGCUCGCCCUGCGCGGCGCCCAGUGGUGGAUUGCACCCAGCUGCUCGAAAGACCAGCGCCCGAACAGGGCAGUGUGUCGUGGCUGACUCAGGCUGGUCCAGAAGUGUGGAUGGACAAAAGCUCUGGCAGAGUGGUGGCCUCGCGCCACAGCAUUGCUUGAUCGCACGAACUUCUGACCUAUCAGCUGUGACUGUGGUGUAGUGGACCACAGUGGCUAUGACGGGUAACGGAGAAUCAGGGUUCGAUUCCGGAGAGGGAGCCUGAGAGACGGCUACCACUACCAAGGUGGGCAGCAGGCACGCAAAUUGCCCAAUGCCAAUACGGUCCUGGUGAGGCAGCGACGAACUGCAGCAAUCCCGCGUGUCCUUAGCGACAUGUGUGACUUGUAAUGGAUGCAAUCCAAAUACAGUGAUGAGUAUCAACUGGAGGGCAAGUCUGGUGCCAGCAGCCGCGGUAAUUCCAGCUCCAAGAGUGUAUACUAACAUUGCUGCUGUUAAAACACUUGUAGUCGGAUGCUGGGUGCAGGUCUGCCAGGUGGCCGGUGGGUCUCGGUGCCGCGGUGGCUCCUCGUGGGUCGCCCGUCCCGGGGCCUGCUGGAACUCAACCCCUGGUGGUAUGCUCCUGCACCCCCUGUUCAGAGGAUGGUGUGAAUGGCUCCUGCUCCAAGUCUCCUUCAGUGGGGAUCGAUGCGGUUGUACGCCCGACGCUCGUGUGCCUGACCAUAGGGGGCAUCGCCCCGUGCGGUGCUAUUUCCCCGGUCCACCACCGGAGUCCACCAUCAAUGUCACCGUGGAAAACUCAGUGUGCUCCAAGCAUCCUUGUGGCUGUAUGCCCGUCCAUGGAAUGUCAAAGCAUCGACCUGAUGUGGCUUAUGAGUUGUGCUGGCCUUGGUGCCCAUUCAGGGGAAUGCGGUGCUGGGCCCUGGCCGUCUCGGCGUCGCCCACCCUCGGGUGCGGCCGGCGUCGGGCGACCUGCGGCUCCAGUACCUGUCGGCCACGAUGGGACUGCUCGGGGUGAAGGAUAUGGCUGCGCCAGAGGUGAAAUUCUUAGACCGCUGCCAGAUCAACUGCAGCGAAGGCGCUCUGCAAGUGCAUGUUCGUCGAUCAAGAAUGAGAGUGUGGGGAGCGAAGAUGAUCAGACACCGUCGUAGUCCACAACUGUAAACGAUGCCAGCUCGGUGCUGAGAGUGCAAUUCGAAGACCCUUCCAGCGCCAUGCCCCCUGCAACGAGAAAUCCAAGCCUGUGGGUUCAGGGGGGAGUACUGUCGCAAGGCUGAAACUUAAAGGAAUUGACGGAAUGGCACCACCAGGCGUGGAGUAUGCGGCUUAAUUUGACUCAACACGGGGAAUGUUACCAGGUCAGGACGAUGUCGGGAUGGACAGAUUGAGAGCUCUUUCUUGAUCCUUCGGAUGGUGGUGCAUGGCCGCUCCUGAUUGGUGGAGUGAUUUGUCUGGUUGAUUCCGAUAACGAGUGAGAUCUCUGCCUCCCAAUAGCCCCAGCCUCGCAUUUGGUAGGGCUCGGCAUGGCCCUCCUCCCCGAAGGGGCAACCUGGACGGGGGAGACCAUCGCCGCCCGAGAGGCCCUGGGUCCAGCUUCUCUGAGGUGCUGUGCACGUCACCAAGUGCAUGCAUGCUAGAGCCAACAGCAGGUCUGUGAUGCUCCCAGAUGUCCUGGGCCGCACGCGCACUACAUUGGUCUGGUGAAUGUGUCGCUUCCCUCGCUCGUCGAGCCCUGCCCUGAAGGAGGGUGGGAAACCCCUGGAGACCAGUCCGUACUGGGGAUAGAUGCUUGCAACUGUCUGCCUUGAACGAGGAAUGCCUAGUAGACGUGGGUCAUCAGCCCGCAUCGAUUGCGUCCCUGCCAUUUGUACACACCGCCCGUCGUUGCUACCGAUGGUAGCGGGAUAGAGCCAUCUGGAGACCUGGUCGCCUCCGCGCGGCUGGGUCGAACUCGGGCGAUGUCCCGCUGCUAGAGGAAGCAAAAGUCGUAACAAGGUUGUUGUAGGUGAA
RNAcentral lists this ribosomal RNA (2229 nucleotides) under Phacus orbicularis. Its description in RNAcentral is "SSU rRNA". It matches the Rfam family "Eukaryotic small subunit ribosomal RNA". The record is from RNAcentral. Lineage: Eukaryota; Euglenozoa; Euglenophyceae; Euglenales; Phacaceae.